This 156-nucleotide unclassified non-coding RNA is filed under the name uncultured Massarina. RNAcentral's name for it is "sequence contains ITS2". Lineage: Eukaryota; Fungi; Ascomycota; Dothideomycetes; Pleosporales; Massarinaceae. The record is from RNAcentral.
CAAACUUCAAGCCCCCCUCAUGGCUUGGUGUUGGGCGUCUGUCCCCCCGGGGACUCGCCUCAAAUGCAUUGGCAGCCGGCACGUUGGCUUCGAGCGCAGCAGAAACGCGCGCGGCGUCUGACGGUGCCUGGCUCUCCAGGAAGCCUCCCCCCAAGU